CUGAGACAUUGUUUCUAGAAAAUUCCCCUAGCCAGGAGAAGAGUAUCUAUUCUUUUUUUUUUUUUUUUUUUCAUUCUGGGUGAGAUUUGUAAUCACUUAAUCAGGGCUGGUCCCCCCCCCCCCCAAACUUAAAAAAUAUGUUCAUCAAUUUCUACUAACUAUUCAGCAGUCACUACUUUAAAAACUCCAAAAACUGAGAAUUCCUAAGAUCCCUCUGAAGUCACUGACAUUAAAAAUGGAGUUCAAGAUGAUGAAACACCUUUUCCCCCCUAAUUGGUGAAUAUAUAUGUUUUUCCUUAAGUUACUGAUCCUUCCUGUCGUUCUGCUCUACGUGACUCAGGAUAAAGCCUUCCAGAUGGAAUGAGCCACUUUCAACAAAGCCUGCAUUGCAACACCACCACUAACAACAACAAAAAAGAUCAAAUAACCACAGAAACCCUGGUGAUCAGAUCAAAUAACCACAGAAACCCUGGUGAUCUUAAGCAUUUGAAGAUGAAUGCAUUAAGAAAGAGCUAGGAAUCAAGAGUGAAGAGGGUGAUAGAGAAGGAGAGAGACAGACACCUGCAACACUGCUUCACCACUUGCAAAGCUUUCCCCCUGCAGGUGGGGACAGGGAAGCUCGAACCCGGGUCCCUGUGUGUUCUGACAUGUGCACUCAGCCAGGUGCACCACCACCCGGCCCCUGACCCAAACCCUUUCUAAAGGAGGUCAUUCAUUUAUAUACCUACAGCAUAGGGAAGGUGAACAUGCAGAUAUUUUGGCGUCUCCGUGCACAGGACACAAGUCAACAUCAACACCAAGAGACCUAAAGCAUCCAGAUGGCAAGUUGUUUACACUGGGCCACUUCCGCCUUGCAAGAAGAAGCAGUUCAUC
This is a long non-coding RNA of Erinaceus europaeus (western European hedgehog), 873 nucleotides long. RefSeq lists it as uncharacterized. The transcript is spliced from 3 exons. The record is from RefSeq and is a predicted model, not a curated record. NCBI's taxonomy places the organism in Eukaryota, Metazoa, Chordata, Mammalia, Eulipotyphla, Erinaceidae.